UUCCGGNUGAUCUGCCGGAGGUUACUGCCCUCGAGGUUCGACUAAGCCAUGCGAGUCGAAUGCCGCAAGGCAUGGCGUACUGCUCAGUAACACGUGGACAACCUACCCUUAGGACUGGGAUAACCCCGGGAAACUGGGAAUAAUCCCCGAUAGUCCUCGAAGGCUGGAAUGCAUCGAGGGCGAAAGCUCCGGCGCCUAAGGAUGGGUCUGCGGCCUAUCAGGUAGUAGUGGGUGUAGCGUACCUACUAGCCUACGACGGGUACGGGUUGUGAGAGCAAGAGCCCGGAGAUGGAUUCUGAGACACGAAUCCAGGCCCUACGGGGUGCAGCAGGCGCGAAAACUUUACAAUGCUGGCAACAGCGAUAAGGGAACCUCGAGUGCCAGGUUACAAAUCUGGCUGUCGAGAUGCCUAAAAAGCAUUUCAUAGCAAGGGCCGGGCAAGACCGGUGCCAGCCGCCGCGGUAACACCGGCGGCUCGAGUGGUAACCGUUAUUAUUGGGUCUAAAGGGUCUGUAGCCGGCCGGAUAAGUCUCUUGGGAAAUCUGGCAGCUCAACUGUCAGGCUAUCAGGAGAUACUGUCUGGCUCGAGGCCGGG
RNAcentral lists this ribosomal RNA (595 nucleotides) under uncultured archaeon. Its description in RNAcentral is "bacterial SSU rRNA". It matches the Rfam family "Archaeal small subunit ribosomal RNA", at positions 1 to 603 of the family's 1478-position model. The record is from RNAcentral.